GUGUCAGCAGCCGCGGUAAUACGAAGGACCCGAGCGUUAUCCGGAUUUAUUGGGUUUAAAGGGUGCGUAGGCGUCCCUAUAAGUUACGGUUGAAAUCUCCUCGCUCAACGAGGAAACUGGCCGUAAAACUGUAGGGAUUGAGUACACUUGAAGCGGGCGGAAUGUGUCAUGUAGCGGUGAAAUGCUUAGAUAUGACACAGAACACCGAUUGCGAAGGCAGCUCGCUAAAUUGUAACUGACGCUGAGGCACGAAAGCGUGGGGAUCAAACAGGAUUAGAUACCCUUGUAGUCC
This 292-nucleotide ribosomal RNA is filed under the name uncultured bacterium. RNAcentral's name for it is "partial 16S ribosomal RNA". It matches the Rfam family "Bacterial small subunit ribosomal RNA", at positions 505 to 796 of the family's 1533-position model. The record is from RNAcentral.